Molecule: long non-coding RNA, 1065 nt
Filed under: Ailuropoda melanoleuca (giant panda)
Lineage: Eukaryota; Metazoa; Chordata; Mammalia; Carnivora; Ursidae
Description: lncRNA (ENSAMEG00000029482.1)
Source: RNAcentral
CCACGUUGCGUUAACCACAAGCUCAUGGACAACAGUGGCGUUAGCAGCGGAAAUCAACUGCUAGGGACAGGGCCACCUGCCCUGACUUCCGCCCAGGUCCAGCCCUGCUUCAUGGUGUCCCUGUCGACCAAGACAGCAGUCACGCUGCCCUCAGCUCGAUAAAUUCUGGGCAGGACUCUUCCUGACCACUGGCCUGACCUCCCUUUUCUUAGAGCAUUUAUUUUAGGAAGUUACGAUUGCAAAUCCUUUUUCUGCCCCUCUGAGAUGUAAAUGUUCCACAGGCCAGGAACAACUUUAUCAAGGUUCUGGGAGGUAUGUCUUUGAAAUGAAUCCCAAAGGAGAUGGGGUCCCUGCCUCCCAGUCUCUGUGGGUAGGGAGGAGCCAAACUUCCAUGAGUGACAAUCAGCAAACACAGGUGGCCUACCCACAUCACCUUCUCCCCUUCCUCCAGCUCUGUCCUCCUGUGCACCCCGUGCUAGAACCCCUCACCCCCUUCCUCCAACUCUGUCCUCGUGCGCACCCCAUGCUAGAACCCCUCACCCCCUUCCUCCAGCUCUGUCCUCCUGCACACCCCAUGCUAGAACCCCUCACCCCCUUCCUCCAGCUCUGUCCUCGUGUGCACCCCAUGCUAGAACCCCUCACCCCCUUCCUCCAACUCUGUCCUCGUGCGCACCCCAUGCUAGAACCCCUCACCCCCUUCCUCCAGCUCUGUCNACUCUGUCUUCGUGCGCACCCCAUGCUAGAACCCCUCACCCCCUUCCUCCAGUUCUGUCCUCCUGCACACCCCAUGCCAGAACCCCAACUUUCGGUUUCAGUAGAGUUAGGUUCACGCUCUCAUCCCCGUUACAGCCAUGCACGAGGUCUUCCUUGCCAGAUGUUUCUUUUACGGUUCUGGUGCCGUGACUCAGACAGGACUCCUCGCUGGGCCCUCAGACUUGUCACCCUGGAGCCCAGGUGUGCACCUAGGAAGCCUCUGUCUUUGCUCCUGCCUGACAGGUUGGAUCCACUGGGGAUCACUGGUGAGCCCAACCCCAGUCCGGGGCUCCAGAGGACCACUGCUCCAAG